Molecule: non-coding RNA, 219 nt
Organism: Cajanus cajan (pigeon pea)
Lineage: Eukaryota; Viridiplantae; Streptophyta; Magnoliopsida; Fabales; Fabaceae
Source: RefSeq, a predicted model, not a curated record
GUCCAUUCUACCACCUUCAAUAAUAUCACUCAUAAACUCAUCAACAUCAGACAGAGAAUUGGAGUUCUUGAGGAAACGACAAGUAGCUUGGGAAGAAUCCUUUCGGGACCUCUAUUACAUGUUUCGAAAGAACAUUUGUGGCCUUUUUUAUGUUUGCACUGCCCGGUUUGUGGUGAUGUUCACUGGUGGCGAUCACUACAAGAAAAAUGCUGAUUUCUG